GGUUAAGCGACUAAGCGUACACGGUGGAUGCCCUGGCAGUCAGAGGCGAUGAAGGACGUGCUAAUCUGCGAUAAGCGUCGGUAAGGUGAUAUGAACCGUUAUAACCGGCGAUUUCCGAAUGGGGAAACCCAGUGUGUUUCGACACACUAUCAUUAACUGAAUCCAUAGGUUAAUGAGGCGAACCGGGGGAACUGAAACAUCUAAGUACCCCGAGGAAAAGAAAUCAACCGAGAUUCCCCCAGUAGCGGCGAGCGAACGGGGAGCAGCCCAGAGCCUGAAUCAGUGUGUGUGUUAGUGGAAGCGUCUGGAAAGGCGCGCGAUACAGGGUGACAGCCCCGUACACAAAAAUGCACAUGCUGUGAGCUCGAUGAGUAGGGCGGGACACGUGGUAUCCUGUCUGAAUAUGGGGGGACCAUCCUCCAAGGCUAAAUACUCCUGACUGACCGAUAGUGAACCAGUACCGUGAGGGAAAGGCGAAAAGAACCCCGGCGAGGGGAGUGAAAAAGAACCUGAAACCGUGUACGUACAAGCAGUGGGAGCACGCUUAGGCGUGUGACUGCGUACCUUUUGUAUAAUGGGUCAGCGACUUAUAUUCUGUAGCAAGGUUAACCGAAUAGGGGAGCCGAAGGGAAACCGAGUCUUAACUGGGCGUUAAGUUGCAGGGUAUAGACCCGAAACCCGGUGAUCUAGCCAUGGGCAGGUUGAAGGUUGGGUAACACUAACUGGAGGACCGAACCGACUAAUGUUGAAAAAUUAGCGGAUGACUUGUGGCUGGGGGUGAAAGGCCAAUCAAACCGGGAGAUAGCUGGUUCUCCCCGAAAGCUAUUUAGGUAGCGCCUCGUGAAUUCAUCUCCGGGGGUAGAGCACUGUUUCGGCAAGGGGGUCAUCCCGACUUACCAACCCGAUGCAAACUGCGAAUACCGGAGAAUGUUAUCACGGGAGACACACGGCGGGUGCUAACGUCCGUCGUGAAGAGGGAAACAACCCAGACCGCCAGCUAAGGUCCCAAAGUCAUGGUUAAGUGGGAAACGAUGUGGGAAGGCCCAGACAGCCAGGAUGUUGGCUUAGAAGCAGCCAUCAUUUAAAGAAAGCGUAAUAGCUCACUGGUCGAGUCGGCCUGCGCGGAAGAUGUAACGGGGCUAAACCAUGCACCGAAGCUGCGGCAGCGACACUGUGUGUUGUUGGGUAGGGGAGCGUUCUGUAAGCCUGUGAAGGUGUGCUGUGAGGCAUGCUGGAGGUAUCAGAAGUGCGAAUGCUGACAUAAGUAACGAUAAAGCGGGUGAAAAGCCCGCUCGCCGGAAGACCAAGGGUUCCUGUCCAACGUUAAUCGGGGCAGGGUGAGUCGACCCCUAAGGCGAGGCCGAAAGGCGUAGUCGAUGGGAAACAGGUUAAUAUUCCUGUACUUGGUGUUACUGCGAAGGGGGGACGGAGAAGGCUAUGUUGGCCGGGCGACGGUUGUCCCGGUUUAAGCGUGUAGGCUGGUUUUCCAGGCAAAUCCGGAAAAUCAAGGCUGAGGCGUGAUGACGAGGCACUACGGUGCUGAAGCAACAAAUGCCCUGCUUCCAGGAAAAGCCUCUAAGCAUCAGGUAACAUCAAAUCGUACCCCAAACCGACACAGGUGGUCAGGUAGAGAAUACCAAGGCGCUUGAGAGAACUCGGGUGAAGGAACUAGGCAAAAUGGUGCCGUAACUUCGGGAGAAGGCACGCUGAUAUGUAGGUGAAGUCCCUCGCGGAUGGAGCUGAAAUCAGUCGAAGAUACCAGCUGGCUGCAACUGUUUAUUAAAAACACAGCACUGUGCAAACACGAAAGUGGACGUAUACGGUGUGACGCCUGCCCGGUGCCGGAAGGUUAAUUGAUGGGGUUAGCGCAAGCGAAGCUCUUGAUCGAAGCCCCGGUAAACGGCGGCCGUAACUAUAACGGUCCUAAGGUAGCGAAAUUCCUUGUCGGGUAAGUUCCGACCUGCACGAAUGGCGUAAUGAUGGCCAGGCUGUCUCCACCCGAGACUCAGUGAAAUUGAACUCGCUGUGAAGAUGCAGUGUACCCGCGGCAAGACGGAAAGACCCCGUGAACCUUUACUAUAGCUUGACACUGAACAUUGAGCCUUGAUGUGUAGGAUAGGUGGGAGGCUUUGAAGUGUGGACGCCAGUCUGCAUGGAGCCGACCUUGAAAUACCACCCUUUAAUGUUUGAUGUUCUAACGUUGACCCGUAAUCCGGGUUGCGGACAGUGUCUGGUGGGUAGUUUGACUGGGGCGGUCUCCUCCUAAAGAGUAACGGAGGAGCACGAAGGUUGGCUAAUCCUGGUCGGACAUCAGGAGGUUAGUGCAAUGGCAUAAGCCAGCUUGACUGCGAGCGUGACGGCGCGAGCAGGUGCGAAAGCAGGUCAUAGUGAUCCGGUGGUUCUGAAUGGAAGGGCCAUCGCUCAACGGAUAAAAGGUACUCCGGGGAUAACAGGCUGAUACCGCCCAAGAGUUCAUAUCGACGGCGGUGUUUGGCACCUCGAUGUCGGCUCAUCACAUCCUGGGGCUGAAGUAGGUCCCAAGGGUAUGGCUGUUCGCCAUUUAAAGUGGUACGCGAGCUGGGUUUAGAACGUCGUGAGACAGUUCGGUCCCUAUCUGCCGUGGGCGCUGGAGAACUGAGGGGGGCUGCUCCUAGUACGAGAGGACCGGAGUGGACGCAUCACUGGUGUUCGGGUUGUCAUGCCAAUGGCACUGCCCGGUAGCUAAAUGCGGAAGAGAUAAGUGCUGAAAGCAUCUAAGCACGAAACUUGCCCCGAGAUGAGUUCUCCCUGACUCCUUGAGAGUCCUGAAGGAACGUUGAAGACGACGACGUUGAUAGGCCGGGUGUGUAAGCGCAGCGAUGCGUUGAGCUAACCGGUACUAAUGAACCGUGAGGCUUAACCUU
This 2903-nucleotide ribosomal RNA is filed under the name Escherichia coli. Its description in RNAcentral is "23S ribosomal RNA". It matches the Rfam family "Bacterial large subunit ribosomal RNA". Lineage: Bacteria; Pseudomonadati; Pseudomonadota; Gammaproteobacteria; Enterobacterales; Enterobacteriaceae. The record is from RNAcentral.